Molecule: ribosomal RNA, 497 nt
Filed under: uncultured bacterium
Lineage: Bacteria
Description: partial 16S ribosomal RNA
Rfam family: Bacterial small subunit ribosomal RNA
Source: RNAcentral
GAUGAACGCUGGCGGCGUGCCUAAUACAUGCAAGUCGAGCGAACGGACGAGAAGCUUGCUUCUCUGAUGUUAGCGGCGGACGGGUGAGUAACACGUGGAUAACCUACCUAUAAGACUGGGAUAACUUCGGGAAACCGUAGCUAAUACCGGAUAAUAUUUUGAACCGCAUGGUUCAAAAGUGAAAGACGGUCUUGCUGUCACUUAUAGAUGGAUCCGCGCUGCAUUAGCUAGUUGGUAAGGUAACGGCUUACCAAGGCAACGAUGCAUAGCCGACCUGAGAGGGUGAUUCGCCACCCUGGAACUGGGGCACGGUCCAGACUCCUACGGGAGGCAGCAGUAGGGAAUCUUCCGCAAUGGGCGAAAGCCUGACGGAGCAACGCCGCGUGAGUGAUGAAGGUCUUCGGAUCGUAAAACUCUGUUAUUAGGGAAGAACAUAUGUGUAAGUAACUGUGCACAUCUUGACGGUACCUAAUCAGAAAGCCACGGCUAACUACGUG